UGCUUCUUCAAAUGAAAUCUUAUUUGGAAUUCCAACACACAUCACAGAUGAAAAUAGAAGGCUUCCUUGAGGAAGAAGGCAACAGAAGAGGAAUCAAAAGGUUCAUUUCUGGAAUCAGAUCCAUGUAACAGGCUUUUUAAAUUACCCUGCGAAUGAGUUUCCUCUCCAGCAGAGCGACGGAAACCUAACAAACCUUCUAAGUGGUACCCUGGCUGGUGUUAAAUUGAUUCAAAGGCUGAGGUAUGUGACUAUGUCAGGAGGGGCGGGGGCCCGGGGCUGUCUGGCUAUAGGAGUGUGCAGAGAAAAUGCCAGCACCUGUCUCUCUGCGCCCUGACCUGGGUGGAACAGACCAGAGAGCUGGCAGCUGAGACGGUGCUUACAGCCUGGGGAGAGGGAGCACUUUCCUUUGGAGACAAAGGGUGUGACAGCUCUCUCAGGCCUCCAAAAUCCAGCCAGCCCUAGGCUGAAGCAUUCCGGAGAAAUCUCUCCUAGAGGAGGUUCUCUAAGCCCAGGGGCGUGGUCUCAGGGUGGAUGGCAGCUAGGACGGGUCUCUAUCCUCACCAUGGCCACCCUUUUGAGGCCACCCUCACACUGUCCAUUCUUAAUUAUCUUUUUUAUUUUUUUGAAAUGAAGUUUUACUCUUGUAGCCCAGGCUGGAGUGCAGUAGAGGGAUCUUGGCUCACUGCAACCUCCACCACCCAGGUUCAAGCAAUUCUCCUGCCUCAGCCUCCUGAGUAGCUGGAAGUAUAGGCUCGUGCCACAUCUGGCCAGUUUCUUUUUUCUUAGUAAAGACAGGGUUUUGCCAUGUUGGCCAGGCUAGUCUUGAACUCCUGAACUCAGGUGAUCCAUCCACCUCGGCCUCCCAAAGAGCCGAAGUUACUGCCGUGAGCCUCCGUGCCCAGCACACUGUCUGUUCUUGAGAUGGGCAACUAGGCAGCAUGAGCUGCCCAGGCCUUGGGUCUGUUUUAUCUUCUGUGUUCUUUUUCUAUCUUCUCUUUUUUAAAUGCAUUGUAAAUGCGUCCAACAAAUGGCUAGUGUCCAGAAUCUACGAGGAAGAUAAACAACUCAAGAAGGAAAAAACAAACAACCCCAUUCAAAAGUGAGCAAGGGCCGGGAACAGACAUUUUUCAAAAGAAGACAAACAAGCAGCCAAAGAACAUUGGAAACAAUGCUCAGCAUCCUAAUCAUCAGAAAAGUACACAUUAAAACCACAGUGAGACACCAUCUCAUUCCAGUCGGAAUGGCCACUAGUAAAAAGUCAUAAAACAACAGAUGUUGGAAAAAAUGCAGAGAAAAGGGAAUGCAUAUACAUCACUGGUGGGAAUGUCAAUGGGUACAACCUCUAUGGAAAACAGUAUGGAGACAUCUCAAAAAAAGUGAAAACAGAAAUAUCCUUCAGUCCUAUAAUCCCACUACUGGGUAGCUAGCCAAAGGAAAAGAAAUCUUAUCAAAAAACACCUGUCAUAUGUUAAUCACAGCACUAUUCACAAUACACAGUCAUGGAAUCAACCUAAGUGUCUACCAACAGAUGUUUGGAUAAAGAAAAUGUGAGAUAUGUACAUGUCUCUCAUAUACAUCUCACAUUUGGUUGUAGUAGUAGUUCAUGGUGUGUGUGUGUGUGUAUACAAAAGAUCAUAGACUGGGUCAUUUAUAAAAGCAGAAAUUUAUUUCUCACAGUUCUAGAGGCUGGGAAGUCGGAGAUCAAGGCAGCAGUUGGUUUGGUGUCUGGAAGAGCCCCAUUGCUCAAAGAUGUUGCUACACACACACACACACACACACACACACACACACACCAUGGAAUACUACUCAGCCAUGAAAAAGGAUGAAAUCGUUUUUUGCAGCAGCACAGAUGGAACUGAAGUCCAUUGUCCUAAAUAAAAUGACUCAGAAACGAAAAGUCAAAAACUAUGUUUUCUCUCUUAAAAGUAAGAGCUAAACAAUGGGUACACACAGAUAUAUAGAGUGGAAUUAUACACAUUGGAGACUGCAAACAAUGAGAAGACAGGAGGGAGCUGAAGGAUGAAAUACUGCCUAGGAGGUACAGUGUGAACUAGUUGGGUGAUAGGUACACUAAAAGCCCAGACUUCACUGUUAUGUAACACACCUGCACAUGUACCCCCAAAUCGAUAAAAAUUUUUAAAAAUCAAAUUAAAAAUGGUAAAAAUGCAUUAGGAGCACUAUUCACCAUAGCCCAAAGUGGAAACAACUUGAAUGACUAUCAGCUAAUGAAUGAAUAAACAACAUGUAGGCUAUCCACACCAUGGAAUAUUAUUCAGCCAUAGAAAAAAGUGAAGUACUGAUGCAUUCUACAGUGUAGACGAAUCUCAAGACGUCACACUAAGUGAAAGAAGGCAGCCACAAAGGACCAUAUAUCGCAUGAUUCCAUUUAUAUGAAGUGUCUGGAAUCAGCAAAUCUACAGAGACAGAAAGUAGCUUAGUGCUUGCCUAGGGCCCAGGGCUAUUGGGCUUGAGGGUGACAGAUAAAAGGUGGGGCUUCCUUUUUAAGUGAUGAAAAUGUUCUAAAAUUGUGGUGACAAACUGUGAAUAUACUAAAACCCAAUGAGGUGUGCAACAAAUUGCAUGGCAUGUGAAUUAUAUUCAAAAAAGCUGGUUUUUAACUAUGCAUUGUAAGCAUGGGGUGGAGGGCGGAAUUCGUAGCACAGAUAUGACCUUCAAUUCAGAAAAGGAGAGUUCAAAUGCCAGUUUCAAAUUCUCCUGCUUCAGCCUUCUAGGUAGAGCUGGAUAUAUGGCACAUGCCACCACCAUACACGGCCAAUCUUUUUAUUAUUAAUAUUUUUAAAUACAGACAGGGUUUCACCAUGUUGGCCAGGCUAGUCUCGAACUUCUGACCUCAGGUGAUCCACCUGCCUCAGCCUCCCGAAGUGCCAGGGUUACAGGUGUGAGCAACCGUGCCCAGCACAAUGUCUGUUCUUGACAUGGGCAAGUAGGCAACAUGAGCUGCCCAGGCCUUGGGUCUCUUUUAUCUUCUGUGUAUCCCUGGACCCCCUGGGCUUACAGGACCUCCUCUAUCAAAGACUUCUCCAGAAUGCUGUAGCCUAGGGCUGGCUGGACCUCUGGAGGCCUGAGAGAGCUACCAUAGCCUCUGUUCUCCAAGAGAAGUUUCUCCCUCUCCCCAGGCUGCAGAUUCCAUACCAAGACUUCCACACUGAAUAGCCUUGGGCAGAUCAUUCAACCCUUCUUGGCCUCUAUUGACUCAGCUGUAAAGUUGGGUGAAUGCUGUUCACCUUAAAAGGUAGGUGUCUUAUUCCAUUUGCUGGGUAAUUUAUCAAGAAAAGAGGUUUAUUUGGCUCACAGUUGUGCAAGUUGUACAAGAAGCAUGGUGCCAGCAUCUGCUUCUGGUAAGGACCUCAGGAAGUUUCUACUCAUGGUGGAAGGUGAAGGUGGCUGGCAUAUCACAUGAUGAGAAAGGGAGCAAGAGGAAGUGCCAGACUCUUUUUAAGAAUCAGUUGUCAUGGGAACUAAGAGUGAGAACUCACUCGCUCUUGAGAAAAUGGCACCAAGCCAUUCAUGAGGGAUUCAACCUCAUGACCCAACUACCUCCCACCAGACCUUACCUCCAACAUUGGGGAUCACUUUUUCACAUGAGAUUUGGAAAGGACAAAUGUCCAAACUGUACCAACUGCUAUAACAAAAGGCCAUGGACUGGUUUAUUUAUAAAGAACAGAGAUUUAUUUUUCACAGCUCUAGAGGCUGGGAAGUCCAAGAUCAAGGCAGCGGUUGGUUUGGUGUCUGGAGAAGGCCCAUUGCUCAUAGAUGGUACCAUCCAGGUGUCCUUACAUGGAAGAAGGGAUGGAAAGGGGACAAACACUGAGUCCUCAUAUGGCAGAAGAGCAGGAGAAGAAGAGAAAUAAAGAGGAUUGAUCCACUCAUGAGGGUGGGAGCCCUCGUGAUUUAAUCACUUCCCGAAAAGACCCCACCUCUCAAUAUCACCACAAUGGAAGAUCAGUUUCAAUGUGAAUUUUGGAGGGAACACACCUCCAAACCAGAGCAGUGGGCAUUAAAUAAGAUAUGCAUAGACACCCUGGUUCAGGCUCUGACACAAAGCAAAAACUGGACAUCAUGAUAACUACUAUUGUGUUAGAUAGAACAGUCAACUUUGAGGCAGAAUAUCUAGGUUCUAAUCCCAACCCUACAUGACGUCACUGGAUGACCCUGGAAGCUCACAGCCUCCCUAAGCCUCAGUGGCACCGGCAGUAAGAUGGGAUGAGAGGCCUGACUUUACAAGGUUAGGUUGGAAAGGUCGGAAGCUAACAAGUGCGGGAGUCCUGUAUGUUGGGAACCCAGUACAAGUUUGUUAAUGAUCAAAUGGAUAGAUGAAUAAAUGAUGGAUGGAUGGACAAUGAGUGUGAGACAGAUACUCAUUCAAACACACACAUACACACACACACACACACACACACUCCUUCAGAGUAUCAAGACAACAAACUCAUAACUUACCUUGCUGGUUAGCAUUCUCAGUGCAAGGGUUCCAGCCCCCAAGAAUAGACUGGGGCCCAGAGACUCUGAGAGAAGCCUGGAGUCACUGCAGGGCAAAGAUGAGAAGCUGUUUCAUCCAGGACAGUCCUGGGACAGAGAACACUCAAUUUUCCUCUUGAAAAAUAGAAAUACUGUGUGUCUCUCAUGGUCUCCCUGAGCAACUGAGACCCAUCAGGUGCCAGACCCCCCUCUGCCUGUCUCUGUGCCCUUCCCAACCUGUCCUAGGGCCACUACCCAUCCCCCUGUGGAGGGCCCCUGGUUCCCCUGCCUCAUCCACUUACUGGGACAGAGUAGGACCUGACCAUCUCCCUCUACCUGGAGAUUCACAAGAAAAGUAAGGAAGAGGAGAGUUCCAGGGACCCUUGAAAAGGCCACAGCAACUUCCCAUGUUCCUCUUGAACAUCAACUCCAAGUCUAAGGGGCAAGCGAGGUCUGUAUAUGAGCCUUGGCCUUCUUGUUAUUUGGAGUUACCAAGGUGGUAACAACAAUCACGAACUACAUGGCUGUGCUGAGGGAAAGCCAAGCUCAAGUUCUUUCAGGAAAACUGGAGCCAAGCUCCGUACAUUGCAAAGGGGAUUAUCGAAGUGAGGUGCAACCAAAGAUAGAGUGCAAAGAACCUGUUUACCAAGCAGUGACCUGUCCAUCAUCACAAGUGCUGCUUCCCACCACCUUUGCCAGGUAAGCGGGUCGGGACAACCACCCUCAUUUCCAGAGGAAGACUUCAGGUCACAGGUCACACUGCCUGAAAUCGGCAGGGCUGCCUGUGCUGAAAGGUCAGGGACUUCUUUACUCCCCUCUCCUGAAGACCUGCCUCCUACAAACUGUGUGAAACACACUCAUUAUCCAAAUGCUGGGAAUGGCUGCAAAGGACUGCAAACUGGAGUUUCUUUGUGCCUGGCAUUAAUGAUUUCUUCCCCAGUGGAUGCUGAAGGAGGUCGCUAGUUGCUCAGCUUGGUGAAUGUAAUCCCCCUGCCAAAAGAUGAACAGAAGCUGAGGGGGUAGCUAUGUUUGGGCGAGAUCCAGUUCCAAGGCUCCUCUGGGAAGGGAGAAAACAGCCAAGGGGCUGCAGAACAUGUGGGGGCAGUUCUGCAUUCCCCUGGAAGCUCCCCAACCCUGAGGCCCCCACACAUACAGGAUCCCAAGGAGCAAGCCCCAAAGGAUAAGGACCCCAUUUCUACAGAAGCUAGUAUUAUACCCCCAGAAGGCAGCAGAGCUCCUUCAGGGAGACCAGGUGUUCUCUCUUGAUCCCAGCUUUUUUUUUUCCAUUUUGUUGUUUCUUGUACUGCCCCUUUCCUUUCCUGCCCUAGGUGAGUCGGCGUCCUCCUGCCACUUGCCUUCCCAAACGUACACCCAGUGCAAAGCCUGCUGCAGACAGAAGAGGUGCCAGGGGACAACACAGCCCUGGAUAGACACAGUCUCUGGCCUCCUGGACUUGAUAUUUUACUGGAAGAGACACGCAACAAGCAAGUUGGUGACCAAAAAGUAAAAAUAAGAAAUCCAAACUCAGUAAAAUAUCUGAGGAGUUUCCUUCUAAGCCAAAAAUAGUGACCAUGGCCCAUGACACUGCCUCAGGAGGUCUUGAGAACAUGUGCCCAAGAAAGGUCACUUGAGCUAUUGUGCGGAUGGUCAGGAUGAGAGAGGAGAACAUGGAAGCAGAGAAUGAUCUGGAGCCUCUGCAGCUGUCUGGAUGAGAUGGUGUUGGCUUGGCCUGGGUACCAGGGCAGAAGACAAGAAGUGGUCAGAUUCAGCGUUUCCUCAGAGCUAUCUGUCUACUCUAACAAGGUGAGACUUCCAAGGCUAAAUCAUGAAAGACAUCACAGAUUCUACUUAGCCUUCUGUAUCAUUUACUCUGGGGGAAGCUCACUGCCAUACCAUGGGGUUGCUCAAGCAGCUGUGUGGAAAGAAACUGAGAUCCCCUCAGGCAGCAGGCAGCACCGACUCCCCAGCCAUGUGAGUGGGCCACCUUGAGACCAGAUCUUCCAGCCACCAUCAAGUGUCCAGAUGACUCCAAGAAUCAUCAAGCUGCAGCUGACCUCUGAGAGCAAAGGGAAAGACCCCAAGCAAGGACGACUCUGCCAAGCUGUUUCUGAACUCCUCACCCACACAAUCUAGAUGCAUCACAAAUCCCGUUGUUUUAAGCCACUGAGUUUUGGGGUGGCUGGUUUUGCACCCGUAGUAACUGGAACAGCAUGGGAGGAAUACAGAGGUCCCUGAACGUGAUGCUAAGAAGUUUUUAUUAUUAUUUAUAAAACUUAGCACUGAAUGAUUCUCUAAGUGGAGAACUGUGUGAUUCAGCCUCUAUUUCUUAGAGCGGCUGUUCUGACAAUUUGAGAGUUAAUGACAAGAAGAGUGGAGAGAAGGGAAAGGAGCAUUCAGUGAGGAAAGUGACGCUGGUGUAAGACUCCGAGGAGGACCAGGUGCAGUGGCUCCUGAACCACGGAGUCGGAGGUUGCAGUCAGCCAAGAUCCUGCCACUGCACUCCAGCCUGGUGACAAAGCAAGACUCCGUCUCAAGAAAAAAUAAGAAAUACCUGAGGCUGGGUAAUUUAUCAAGCUAUUAAUUGGCUAAUAGCUCUGCAGGCUUUACAGAAAGCAGGGUCUGACAUCUGCUCAGCUUCUAGGGAGGCCCCCGGAAGCCUCCAGUUAUGGCGGAAGGGAAAUGGGGAGCAGGCACACUGCAUGGCCAGAGCCUGAGCGAGAAGGACAGAGAGGGAGCCACUGUGGGGAGAGGGCCCGUGCUUUUAAAUGACCAGUUCUUGUGUGAACUCCAAGUAAGAGCUCUCUUAUCACCAAGGGGAUGACCCAAGCCAUUCAUGAGGGAUCUGCCCCCAUGAUUCAGGCACCUCCCACCAGGCCUAACCUCCAACACUGGGGAUCACAACUUAACAUGAGAUUUGGGCAGGGAUUAAUAUCCAAACUAUGUCAUCGUAUGAUGCCCUGUACUGCCUAGGGACUCUUCAGAAAGUCCCUACUAGCAAGAAGGCCUUCACUAGAUGUACCAUUUGAACUCUGACUUCUCAGCCUUCAGGACUGUAAGAAAUUCCUUUUCUUUGCAAAUUACCCAGUGUCGUAUUCUGGUAUUAGGCCAGGCGCAGUGGCUCAUGCCUGUAAUCCCAGCACUUUGGGAGGCCGAGGUGGGUGGAUCACCUGAGGUCAAGAGUUCGAGACCAGCCUGACCAACAUGGUGAAACCUACUAAAAAUACAAAAUUAGCCAGGCGUGGUGGUACGUGCCUGUAAUCCCAGCUACUUGGGAGGCUAAGGCGAGAGAAUCGCUUUAAACCAGGAGGCAGAGGUUGCAGUGAACCAAGAUCGCACCAUUGCACUCCAGCCUGGGUGAGAAAAGUGAAACUCCGUCCCAAAAAAACAAAAAGUAUUCUGUUAUUUGUUGGUGCAAAAGUGCCAAACUAAUCUAAGCAACAGAAAAUAGACUAAGACACUAGGGCUGGCCAGCUUUCCUCCUGGCUCUUCACCCUGUGUCCUCAUGUGAUGUGGGCUCCCCACCAAGCCUUGUGCCUCUCCAUUGGCCAUUGGAUGAGCUGCCCAAGCCUCACUGAGUCUGGGGCGUGAGUCAGCAUUGCUGGCCCCCUUUGACUGCCUAGGUUUGCGCUAAUCUUCUUUCCCCAAACGCUUCCAACCUUUCAACAAGUCCUCGUGGGUCCACCUCCAGAUUACAGCGACCUCUCUCUCCAUCUUCACUAAGACCUUCUCCAAGCUGCCAUGAGUGUGAUGGCUCACACCUGUAAUCCCAGCCCUUUGAAAGGGCGAGGUGGGCGGAUCACCUGAGGUCAGGAGAUGAAGACCAGCUUGGCCAACGUGGUGAAACCCCAUCUCUACUAAAAAUGCAAAAAUUAGCCAGGCACCAUGGCAGGAACCUGUAAUCUCAGCUAUUCGGGAGGCUGAGGCAGGAGAAUCGUUGGAUUUGCAGUGAGCUAAGAUCGUGCCACUGCACUCCAGUGUGGGUGACAAAGCCAGAUUCCGUCUCAAAAAAAAAAGGAAGGAAGAAAGAAAGAGAAAGGAAAAACUAGACCAUGCUACCCCUGUGCUUAAAGUCCUCUCAAAUGAGCUUAAAAUAUAACUCUACCCCAAGACCUCUGAGACCAUCCAUCUGCCCUAGCUUGCUCUCUUCUUCCUUGACCCUCUCCUAGUUGACCAGUCUGUCCUGGCCAGACUUGGCCUCUUCGUCAUCUUCAAAUGGGCCAGGUUCCCUCCCACCUCAGAACCAUUGCACGUUCUCUUCAAUUCACGUGGAGCCGCCUUCCCCAAAGUUGGAGUCUUUGGAGGGACCCGAUAAAAGCCCUUCUCUUCCCAGCUUGAGUCUGAGCACAUGGAGAAAUAAGACCCAUCAUAAGGACAAAAGAAGCUCAUUACUCCCUUUCAUGAGUCACGAAGUCCAGGUUGGAGGAUGGAGCUUGAUGUAAACACCAAAUGCAACCUCUUCAGCCAGACCUGAGCCCAACCACACGGCACCACAGGCCAGUGUCACCGAGAUAAGACUCAGAGCGGAGUCCUGCACCCCGUGAGCAGCUUGCUGCCAAGCGGGAGAGUUGGUAUUUUGUGUAUUCUCCUGAACUCUACCAGUCAGGUCGGUAGGUCUGCCUGCCCCGGGUGGAGUGAAGAAAGGCAGGGAGACACCAGGUGUGUGAGGCCACUGUGCUACCUAGAGUAAGCACAUCCCCCAGUAAUCAAGGGCUCCAAAUGCCCACUUCAUUCUCAUGUCUCAGAUCUCAGAGAGGCCUUUGCUGAUGCAUUCCCUAUUUUAAAAAAAAAAAAGGACCCCCUGACCCACAUGCACACAUACACACUUGGUCUUUCUUUCAUCUUCACUCCCCGAGUGACAUCUUUGUGUCCAUCACCGCUGGAACAUAAGCACUGUAAGGUCAGCGCCCUGCCCUCCUGUUCACGGCUGCAUCUCCAGGGCCUAGAACAGCAUCUACCGCAUCACCGAGGACCUUUUAAUGAAUUGAAUAGACAAGAGUAGCAAUACCUGAGCCUCAAUCCCAGGUUGUGGCCCGGAGCUGGGAGCUUCAGUCCUCUUCAUUCGGGAAAGUGGUUCUUCCCAGAGCCAGGUCGAGCGGCAGCUCCCACACAAACCCAAGAGGAGGCCUGCUCACGUUGGCGGUGUAAGCUGAGCCACAUCGCGUCCUUGAACAGAGCAGAUGGGUUCUUGUUCCUCCAUGGUGUGGAUGCUGGGAGCCAGGAAGCUCGAGAAAGUCCAUCUGACCUUGGACCCACCAUGGAAUGGAUGUGGACGGAUGUGCCCACCCUGCUUAGAAAAGGUCCUCCAUGUACUCCUUCAUCUCGGAUGAGGUCUCCAUAAGUGCAGAAAAGAAGGUAAAAAUGAAGCUACCGGAAACUGCUGCAUUAACAGAAGCAUAGAUCCUAGAAUGAAGGAGGAGAGAGUCCUACUGUCGUCUGCAUAUUUUAUUCCUCACUCAGAGUCAUGUAAUGAAUUCUUCCCUUGAAAUCAUGGAAGCUGCCCGGUAUGGUGGCUCACACCUGUAAUCUCAGCACUUUGGGAGGCCCAGGCAGAAUCACCUGAGGUCAAGAGUUCGAGACCAGCCUGGCCAACAUGGUGAAACCCCGUCUCUACUAAAAAUACAAAAAAAGUAGCCCAGUCUGGUGGUGGGCGCCUGUAUUCCCAGCUACUUGGGAGGCUGAGGCAGGAGAAUCGCUUGAACCUGGGAGGUGAAGGUUGCAGGGAGCCGAGAUGGCCCCACUGCACUCUAGCCUAGACAACAAGAGUAAAACUAUGUCUCAAAACUAGAAAAUAAAUCAUGGAGGCCUCAGGUCUAGCUGCGUUUGUGGGAAAGGGUCACAGUAGUACCUGUGGGGUGGCAGGAGAGUGAACAGUGGUGGCUUGGGAUGGGAGCCAUGGCAAAAGUGGGCUGCAUUUUGAGAGAGACAGAGACAAAGAAAAGCAUAUUCGGCCUUGGGAAGAUCUCAUGAAUACUUGGGAAAACUGCCAUGAAUCCUGUUGUCAUCCAGGGAAUAUUUAGGUUAGAAAAGCGCCCAAGAGUCCUGCCUUUUCAGUAUGGAGAAGCUAGAAUAAGAACUAGUACCAAAGGGGAGAAAUUAGUUACAAGAGACUGUUUUCAGCUCAGUAUGAGGACGAGCUGUUUAAUAGCAAGAAACCUGCCUGAGAGAGAAAGAACCGCCUUGGAAGGUAGUGAGCUCCCCAUCACUCAAGAUGUGCAGGACUUUAGUAUGCUUAGAAGCUUCUGCUUUUUUGUGGAGAAGCCAUGAGCAUUUGCCACGUGGUUAAAUUAUUUUUAGUUUUCAUUUUCAUGCCUUUCCCCAGUGCUUAGAAGCAUAAGCAGCACAGGAUGAUAUAUUGGGGUUUUUUGGGUUUUUUUUUUUUUUUUUGUGAUGGAGUCUUGCUCUGUAGCCCAGGCUGGAGUGCAGUGGCACCAUCUUGGCUCACUGCAACCUCCGCCUCCUGGGUCCCGGAUCCCAAUUCUUCUUAGAUUCAUCUUCUUAUUAAAAAUCAGAUUCCUCUGUGGCUCAAGCCUGUAAUCCCAGCACUUUGGGAGGCCAAGACGGGUGGAUCACGAGGUCAAGAGAUCGAGACCAUCCCGGUCAACAUGGUGAAACCCCGUCUCUACUAAAAAUACAAAAAAAAAAAAUUAGCUGGGCACGGUGGCACAUGCCUGUUAUCCCAGCUACUCAGGAGGCUGAGGCAGGAGAAUUGCCUGAACCCAGGAGGCGGAGGUUGCGGUGAGCCGAGAUAGUGCCAUUGCACUCCAGCCUGGGUAACAAGAGCGAAACUCCGUCUCAAAAAAAAAAAAAAGGCUCUUAAGAGCAGCAUUUGUCCUAAACAUUUUCCUUCACUCCAGCAUUCCCAGUAGAGUGCUAGCGAUGCAGGAGUUUAAAAACAUCUGUGGUCUGCAUUGAUUUCACAGCAUUUCAAGCUGCCCAUAUACGGGCCGCUGAAUUUAAACAAACAUGGCUUUUGGACAGCAGGCCUUGUCUGAUUAAUAAAAUUAUCAUAAUGUAUUGAGUUUACUUGAUAAUAAGUAAUCACAAUCAACUGAUAAUGAAGUGAAAUACACAGUCAGUUAAUUGAGAAUAACUCGAUUGAAUGAGAGACUUCGUCGCCUGAUUAAAAUUAAUUGUAUUAGUGAGACAGUCUUGGAAUCACACAUGCAAGUAAUUAAAACUUUUCAGGUAAAAAAAAAGAUAAAUUCUCCUGCAUGGUUGUCCAGAAAGAAAAAAAGGAUUAAGGAAAGUGACGAUGCUGUUACCUUUGUUGCAUUGCUUCGAUGGAAGGCUAGAGCUCGGUUAAUUUGAAUGAGCAAAUAUUGAAACUUUCUCACAAAGAGAGCCAUUUAAUCUGGAAGCUCUGGGGAGGUUUCACUAACUGAGGAUCUGGGUUGGAGAAAAUGCAAACUGGGCACGUUAUAGAACGUGUUAAGCAAUGGACGGGUUACCAACUCAGGUCCCGGAUGCCCUGCUUGGUCAACUCAGAAGAUCCUACAGGUGUCCAGAUCCUAGGGCCAGCUCUAUCCACGCUUCCCAGUCUUCAGUGCAAGAAGAGUCACCAGGAUUCUUGUUAAAAUACAGAUUCUGAUGCUAAAUCAAGGAAGGAGCAUGGGGCUCUGCAUUUCUAACAAGCUCCUAGGUGAUGGACCACACCGUGAGAGCAAGGGUCUCUAACACAGCACGUCAGACCAUGCUCAGCAGUCAGCUCUGUUCCUACAACUUCAGAAACAUUGUAUGGAGACAGAGAACCAGUCAGCAGAGGCUCCUUUGGCCAGAGUUUUACGUGAGCAUGGCAGGCUAUCCAGUAACUAUUCACAGUUCCCAAACGAGUCUUCCUCAUUCUCAUCUGUGAGCCUUUCCACAUACUCCUGUCUGCAUGGAAUGCACUGGACCCAAAAAGGAGCCAGGGACCUGAAGUCAAGCCACAGAGACAAACUCUGGCCUAUUUCAGGCCAGGCACGGUGGCUCACGCCUGUAAUCCCAGCACUUUGGGAGGCCAAGGCGGGUGGAUCACAAGGUCAGGAGUCCGAGGUCAGCCUGGCCAACAUGGCGAAACCCUGUCUUUACUGAAAAUACAAAACUUAGCUGCGUGUGGUGGUGUGCCUGUAAUCCCAUGUCAGCUCCAGUAGGCUGUGAGUCCCGAGGACAGAACUCCCACUUUUACGUCAGUGCCUGACCCAGCACAGGACUCAGGGCUCAAUCAAGCCUAAAUGAAGAGGGGAAAGAGCUCACCUGCCAGUCAACGCCACUCUUCCCAGAAACCAGCAAAUGGACAUGGUACUGGGAGCAGAAGAAAGCAGACUGAGGUGAGAAGCGGGUGGAGGGAUGAGUUCAAGCUGCCUGGGACGCUGCAAACAAGGUGGGGCAGAUGACCAGAAACCGGCAUCUCCGAAGCGGUCAGGAGAAGGCAUCGCCCUGGCAGAGCAGCCUGUAGCCACUGUGAAUAUGCUAGACCUGUCAAAAGCACGUGAUAGAUCUUCCACAUAAAUUAUGAAACAUAGCACGGUUCUGUUUGCUCUUUGUCUGUAAAAAAAAUCUCAAAUUUCUAAAAAGAUGGAAUAUUAAAACUUGUCACUAGCCUGUCUAAGUCUUCUCUUCUUAUCAUCCCUACCUCCUCACACCAAAAGCAAAAACUUCAGCGGAACCAAAGACUCCUCUCAUUCCUCAUUUAAGUUCAGGUCCUAUUUAAGCUGA
Long non-coding RNA from Callithrix jacchus (white-tufted-ear marmoset), 13170 nucleotides. RefSeq lists it as uncharacterized. The record is from RefSeq and is a predicted model, not a curated record. NCBI's taxonomy places the organism in Eukaryota, Metazoa, Chordata, Mammalia, Primates, Cebidae.